RNAcentral lists this ribosomal RNA (1253 nucleotides) under Microbacterium sp. MS21. RNAcentral's name for it is "bacterial SSU rRNA". It matches the Rfam family "Bacterial small subunit ribosomal RNA", at positions 121 to 1385 of the family's 1533-position model. The record is from RNAcentral. Lineage: Bacteria; Bacillati; Actinomycetota; Actinomycetes; Micrococcales; Microbacteriaceae.
GCAACCUGCCCCUGACUCUGGGAUAAGCGCUGGAAACGGCGUCUAAUACUGGAUAUGUGACGUGACCGCAUGGUCUGCGUUUGGAAAGAUUUUUCGGUUGGGGAUGGGCUCGCGGCCUAUCAGCUUGUUGGUGAGGUAAUGGCUCACCAAGGCGUCGACGGGUAGCCGGCCUGAGAGGGUGACCGGCCACACUGGGACUGAGACACGGCCCAGACUCCUACGGGAGGCAGCAGUGGGGAAUAUUGCACAAUGGGCGAAAGCCUGAUGCAGCAACGCCGCGUGAGGGAUGACGGCCUUCGGGUUGUAAACCUCUUUUAGCAGGGAAGAAGCGAAAGUGACGGUACCUGCAGAAAAAGCGCCGGCUAACUACGUGCCAGCAGCCGCGGUAAUACGUAGGGCGCAAGCGUUAUCCGGAAUUAUUGGGCGUAAAGAGCUCGUAGGCGGUUUGUCGCGUCUGCUGUGAAAUCCCGAGGCUCAACCUCGGGCCUGCAGUGGGUACGGGCAGACUAGAGUGCGGUAGGGGAGAUUGGAAUUCCUGGUGUAGCGGUGGAAUGCGCAGAUAUCAGGAGGAACACCGAUGGCGAAGGCAGAUCUCUGGGCCGUAACUGACGCUGAGGAGCGAAAGGGUGGGGAGCAAACAGGCUUAGAUACCCUGGUAGUCCACCCCGUAAACGUUGGGAACUAGUUGUGGGGUCCAUUCCACGGAUUCCGUGACGCAGCUAACGCAUUAAGUUCCCCGCCUGGGGAGUACGGCCGCAAGGCUAAAACUCAAAGGAAUUGACGGGGACCCGCACAAGCGGCGGAGCAUGCGGAUUAAUUCGAUGCAACGCGAAGAACCUUACCAAGGCUUGACAUAUACGAGAACGGGCCAGAAAUGGUCAACUCUUUGGACACUCGUAAACAGGUGGUGCAUGGUUGUCGUCAGCUCGUGUCGUGAGAUGUUGGGUUAAGUCCCGCAACGAGCGCAACCCUCGUUCUAUGUUGCCAGCACGUAAUGGUGGGAACUCAUGGGAUACUGCCGGGGUCAACUCGGAGGAAGGUGGGGAUGACGUCAAAUCAUCAUGCCCCUUAUGUCUUGGGCUUCACGCAUGCUACAAUGGCCGGUACAAAGGGCUGCAAUACCGUGAGGUGGAGCGAAUCCCAAAAAGCCGGUCCCAGUUCGGAUUGAGGUCUGCAACUCGACCUCAUGAAGUCGGAGUCGCUAGUAAUCGCAGAUCAGCAACGCUGCGGUGAAUACGUUCCCGGGUCUUGUA